This 476-nucleotide ribosomal RNA is filed under the name uncultured bacterium. RNAcentral's name for it is "partial 16S ribosomal RNA". It matches the Rfam family "Bacterial small subunit ribosomal RNA", at positions 28 to 523 of the family's 1533-position model. The record is from RNAcentral.
GAUGAACGCUGGCGGCGUGCUUAACACAUGCAAGUCGAGCGAGUGAGUUCUUCGGAACGAUCUAGCGGCGGACGGGUGAGUAACACGUGGGCAACCUGCCUCAUAGAGGGGAAUAGCCUCCCGAAAGGGAGAUUAAUACCGCAUAAAAUUAUCGAGUGGCAUCACAUGAUAAUCAAAGGAGUAAUCCGCUAUGAGAUGGGCCCGCGGCGCAUUCGCUAGGUGGCGAGGUAGCGGCCGACCAAGGCGACGAUGCGUAGCCGACCUGAGAGGGUGAUCGGCCACAUUGGGACUGAGACACGGACCAGACUCCUACGGGAGGCAGCAGUGGGGAAUAUUGCACAAUGGGGGAAACCCUGAUGCAGCAACGCCGCGUGAGUGAUGAAGGUCUUAGGAUUGUAAAGCUCUGUCUUUGGGGGCGAUAAUGACGGUACCCAAGGAGGAAGCCACGGCUAACUACGUGCCAGCCGCCGCGGUAA